CCUACGGGUGGCAGCAGUGGGGGAUAUUGGACAAUGGGGGGGACCCUGAUCCAGCGACGCCGCGUGAGUGAAGAAGUAUUUCGGUGUGUAAAGCUCUGUCAGCAGGGAAGAAAGAAAUGACGGUACCUGACCAAGAAGCCCCGGCUAACUACGAGCCAGCAGCCGCGGUAUUCCGUAGGGGGCAAGCGUUAUCCGGAAUUACUGGGUGUAAAGGGAGCGUAGACGGUUAAGUAAGUCUGUAGUGAAAGUCCGGGGCCCAACCCCGGGAUUGCACUUGACACUAGUGAACUUGAGUGCAGGGGAGGUAAGCGGAAUGCGUAGUGUAGCGGUGAAAUGCGUAGAUAUUAGGAGGAACACCAGUGGCGAAGGCGGCUUACUGGACUGUAACUGACGUUGAGGCUCGAAAGCGUGGGGAGCAAACAGGAUUAGAUACCCCUGUAGUC
RNAcentral lists this ribosomal RNA (443 nucleotides) under uncultured bacterium. RNAcentral describes it as "partial 16S ribosomal RNA". It matches the Rfam family "Bacterial small subunit ribosomal RNA", at positions 338 to 795 of the family's 1533-position model. The record is from RNAcentral.